CCGAGUUUACAACUCCCAAACCCCUGUGAACAUACCUAUACGUUGCCUCGGCGGAUCAGCCCGCGCCCCGUAAAAAGGGACGGCCCGCCGCAGGAACCCCUAAACUCUGUUUUUAGUGGAACUUCUGAGUAUAAACAAACAAAUAAAUCA
RNAcentral lists this unclassified non-coding RNA (150 nucleotides) under soil metagenome. RNAcentral describes it as "partial internal transcribed spacer 1". The record is from RNAcentral.